RNAcentral lists this ribosomal RNA (197 nucleotides) under uncultured Staphylococcus sp. Its description in RNAcentral is "partial 16S ribosomal RNA". It matches the Rfam family "Bacterial small subunit ribosomal RNA", at positions 335 to 524 of the family's 1533-position model. The record is from RNAcentral. Lineage: Bacteria; Bacillati; Bacillota; Bacilli; Caryophanales; Staphylococcaceae.
ACUCCUACGGGAGGCAGCAGUAGGGAAUCUUCCGCAAUGGGCGAAAGCCUGACGGAGCAACGCCGCGUGAGUGAUGAAGGGUUUCGGCUCGUAAAACUCUGUUAUUAGGGAAGAACAUAUGUGUAAGUAACUGUGCACAUCUUGACGGUACCUAAUCAGAAAGCCACGGCUAACUACGUGCCAGCAGCCGCGGUAAU